UGCCACUUGCGGCAGGACCAUCGGUUAACAACUUUUAAAUUUAUCCUUUAGCCACCGUUUGGUUCGGGAUUAAGAAAAAGUAGCUAUUCCAGGGAUAGGAUUAAGUUCAGGGUUAAAAUGGUGUUAAAAUUUUUUUGUAUUUGGUUGGAGGUUGGAGUUAGUCUAGGAUAGUGAAAAAAAGUGUUUGGUUGGAGUAGGUGGGAUAAGAAGAUAAUGAUUGAUAAAGAAGAAAAAGGUAAGGACUCGGGAUGCGUGCGGGGUUAAAGUUGGGAGGGGGAGUGGGGUUAAUGAUUGAUAAAGAAGAAAAAUGUGAGGGCUCGGAAUGCGUGCGGAGUUAAAGUUGGGAGGGGGAGUGGGGUUAGUAAACCCCACUAACCCGGUUUGGGGUGGGGUUUACUAACCCCACCCCUUAAGAAUGGUGUUUGAGUAUAAAUUGGGGGUUAAGGGGUUAUUCCAUUCCUUAACCCCCAAGGCCCCAACCAAACGGUGGCUUAAAGUUUACUCUUUUUCGUCCAGUGGAAUAAUAGAAAUUAUUAGCUAUUAUUUAUUUAGAGACCCAUAUUUGUUUCCCACGUAAAAAAGGGUAUCAAGAAAUUGAUGCUCGUGUAUUUGAACUUUACAUGAGCGCAUCUC
This 633-nucleotide long non-coding RNA is filed under the name Ananas comosus (pineapple). RNAcentral's name for it is "long non-coding RNA (ACOM_LNC031111)". Lineage: Eukaryota; Viridiplantae; Streptophyta; Magnoliopsida; Poales; Bromeliaceae. The record is from RNAcentral.